Non-coding RNA from Callorhinus ursinus (northern fur seal), 498 nucleotides. The record is from RefSeq and is a predicted model, not a curated record. NCBI's taxonomy places the organism in Eukaryota, Metazoa, Chordata, Mammalia, Carnivora, Otariidae.
AUGUGCAAAUUUAAACCUGGGUAUACACUCUGUGUGCUUAUAAAUAGUCUAUAAUCCUAAAAUUGAAGGAGGAAGGAAGGGAGGAGCCAGGGUCUCACCCACCCACUCCCAGCUAGGGCUGUGUGUCUCCAGUAGAGGUUUUCUCCUCCUGGAUGGACCUGACGUGACCCACUGUGGUUCUGGCUUCUGUUGGGCGAUCCCCAGGCUCAGGUUAGCGUGAUUACCAGAUAAAUCACGCAUCUGAAAGCCGUUUGGAAACUGUAAAGCAUGACACAAAUGCAAGAUGCUAAACUUUAUCGCAGGGAAAAUGACAGAGGGCCUAGGACAGUGGGAGAAACCCUUCACCAGCUUCUAAGAUGGUCAGGUCGAAGGAUGCAGUAAACCUCCUGGCUCCUUCCCGAAGAACGCCGGGACUUAAAUGCACUGGGCCCCAGCCAAACAACCGAAUAAAGUGGAAAAUUUUUUCAUCACUUACAGAAACUAUUUUCACCCGGCAGA